RNAcentral lists this ribosomal RNA (433 nucleotides) under uncultured bacterium. RNAcentral's name for it is "partial 16S ribosomal RNA". It matches the Rfam family "Bacterial small subunit ribosomal RNA", at positions 29 to 507 of the family's 1533-position model. The record is from RNAcentral.
AACGAACGCUGGCGGCAUGCCUAACACAUGCAAGUCGACCGAAACCUUCGGUUCUGUGGGCGCACGGGUGGUUACGGGUUGGGAAUCUGCCCUGGGUUUGGGAUUAACGGUGGGAAACAACGCCUAUUACGGAUGAAGAACGAAAGUCAAAAGAUUUAUCGCCCAGGGAUGAGCCCGCGUAGGAUUAGCUAGUUGGUGGGGUAAAGGCCUACCAAGGCGACGAUCCUUAGCUGGUCUGAGAGGAUGAUCAGCCACACUGGGACUGAGACACGGCCCAGACUCCUACGGGAGGCAGCAGUGGGGAAUAUUGGACAAUGGGCGAAAGCCUGAUCCAGCAAUGCCGCGUGAGUGAUGAAGGCCUUAGGGUUGUAAAGCUCUUUUACCCGGGAUGAUAAUGACAGUACCGGGAGAAUAAGCCCCGGCUAACUCCGUG